CCAGAAAUAUUCCUUGUUCCUCCAGCUCCUGCACCAUGUUUAUCUAAGGAUGCCCGCACUGCAGCACGUACAUCCUCGUGACGAGACAUCCCUAUUAAUGAUAUGGAAUACUCCUUGGCUUUGGGGAACUGGUCAGCUAUACGAGCGACUUUCUUAAACACACGGUAGGAAUGGUCCGCUUUCUUCUGAGCGAUUUGCUCUUGGAAAAAUUCAUUGUAUGGGAAUAAAUUCAACUCUGUAAAGAUAAAUAAAAAAAGGACAUGUUACACAAAGAAAGAA
Molecule: long non-coding RNA, 279 nt
Organism: Homarus americanus (American lobster)
Lineage: Eukaryota; Metazoa; Arthropoda; Malacostraca; Decapoda; Nephropidae
Exons: 2
Source: RefSeq, a predicted model, not a curated record